CUUUUUCUUGUUCAUUCAUUGUACUUAGCUAGUUUUAGCCUAGGUAUGAUAUUCAUCGACUGCAGUUCUUGGAAUAAGAGUUUACAGGCAUAAGGUAUCCGCAGAGAAGACACAUGACAUGAUGAUUUGCAGUAAUGGCACCAGCCAGAGUAUCCCAGCAAGCCACACUGCCCACAAACAUCCACUUCAAAGGCAUCACUUGAAAUCAUCAGUCUCUCCAGUAACAGCAUGCUGGCUCCAUAACCUAUCAGACAAUCCCGUUCCAUCUCUCCAAGACGUAAAC
This 283-nucleotide long non-coding RNA is filed under the name Gallus gallus (chicken). The record is from RNAcentral. Lineage: Eukaryota; Metazoa; Chordata; Aves; Galliformes; Phasianidae.